GAGGGUGUAGCUCAGUGGUAGAGCACGUGCUUAGCAUGCACGAGGUCCUGGGUUCAACCCCCAGUACCUCCA
Molecule: transfer RNA, 72 nt
Filed under: Camelus bactrianus (Bactrian camel)
Lineage: Eukaryota; Metazoa; Chordata; Mammalia; Artiodactyla; Camelidae
Also listed under: 1 other name
Rfam family: tRNA
About the family: Transfer RNA (tRNA) molecules are approximately 80 nucleotides in length.
Source: Rfam by way of RNAcentral